GGAAUUUUGGACACUGGGCGCAAGCCUGAUCCAGCAAUGCCGCGUGCAGGAAGAAGGCCUUCGGGUUGUAAACUGCUUUUGUACGGAACGGAACGGUCCUGGUUAAUACCUGGGGCUAAUGACGGUACCGUAAGAAUAAGCACCGGCUAACUACGGUCCAGUCGCCGCGGUAAUACGUAGGGUGCAAGCGUUAAUCGGCAUUAUUGGGCGUAAAGCGUGCGCAGGCGGUUUUGUAAGACAGGCGUGAAAUCCCCGGGCUUAACCUGGGAAUGGCGCUUGUGACUGCAAAGCUGGAGUGCGGCAGAGGGGGAUGGAAUUCCGCGUGUAGCAGUGAAAUGCGUAGAUAUGCGGAGGAACACCGAUGGCGAAGGCAAUCCCCUGGGCCUGCACUGACGCUCAUGCACGAAAGCGUGGGGAGCAAAC
Molecule: ribosomal RNA, 423 nt
Filed under: uncultured bacterium
Lineage: Bacteria
Description: bacterial SSU rRNA
Rfam family: Bacterial small subunit ribosomal RNA
Source: RNAcentral